AGACGAAUCAUCUGGAAAGAUGAAUCAAAGAAGGUAAUAAUCCUGUAGUCGAAAAUGUUGUCUCUCUUGAGUGGAUCCUGAGUACGACGGAGCACGUGAAAUUCCGUCGGAAUCUGGGAGGACCAUCUCCUAAGGCUAAAUACUCUCUAGUGACCGAUAGUGAACCAGUACCGUGAGGGAAAGGUGAAAAGCACCCCGGAAGGGGAGUGAAAUAGAACCUGAAACCGUGUGCUUACAAGUAGUCAGAGCCCGUUAAUGGGUGAUGGCGUGCCUUUUGUAGAAUGAACCGGCGAGUUACGAUUUGAUGCAAGGUUAAGCAGUAAAUGUGGAGCCGUAGCGAAAGCGAGUCUGAAUAGGGCGUUUAGUAUUUGGUCGUAGACCCGAAACCAGGUGAUCUACCCUUGGUCAGGUUGAAGUUCAGGUAACACUGAAUGGAGGACCGAACCGACUUACGUUGAAAAGUGAGCGGAUGAACUGAGGGUAGCGGAGAAAUUCCAAUCGAACCUGGAGAUAGCUGGUUCUCUCCGAAAUAGCUUUAGGGCUAGCCUCAAGUGAUGAUUAUUGGAGGUAGAGCACUGUUUGGACGAGGGGCCCCUCUCGGGUUACCGAAUUCAGACAAACUCCGAAUGCCAAUUAAUUUAACUUGGGAGUCAGAACAUGGGUGAUAAGGUCCGUGUUCGAAAGGGAAACAGCCCAGACCACCAGCUAAGGUCCCAAAAUAUAUGUUAAGUGGAAAAGGAUGUGGCGUUGCCCAGACAACUAGGAUGUUGGCUUAGAAGCAGCCAUCAUUUAAAGAGUGCGUAAUAGCUCACUAGUCGAGUGACACUGCGCCGAAAAUGUACCGGGGCUAAACAUAUUACCGAAGCUGUGGAUUGUCCUUUGGACAAUGGUAGGAGAGCGUUCUAAGGGCGUUGAAGCAUGAUCGUAAGGACAUGUGGAGCGCUUAGAAGUGAGAAUGCCGGUGUGAGUAGCGAAAGACGGGUGAGAAUCCCGUCCACCGAUUGACUAAGGUUUCCAGAGGAAGGCUCGUCCGCUCUGGGUUAGUCGGGUCCUAAGCUGAGGCCGACAGGCGUAGGCGAUGGAUAACAGGUUGAUAUUCCUGUACCACCUAUAAUCGUUUUAAUCGAUGGGGGGACGCAGUAGGAUAGGCGAAGCGUGCGAUUGGAUUGCACGUCUAAGCAGUAAGGCUGAGUAUUAGGCAAAUCCGGUACUCGUUAAGGCUGAGCUGUGAUGGGGAGAAGACAUUGUGUCUUCGAGUCGUUGAUUUCACACUGCCGAGAAAAGCCUCUAGAUAGAAAAUAGGUGCCCGUACCGCAAACCGACACAGGUAGUCAAGAUGAGAAUUCUAAGGUGAGCGAGCGAACUCUCGUUAAGGAACUCGGCAAAAUGACCCCGUAACUUCGGGAGAAGGGGUGCUCUUUAGGGUUAACGCCCAGAAGAGCCGCAGUGAAUAGGCCCAAGCGACUGUUUAUCAAAAACACAGGUCUCUGCUAAACCGUAAGGUGAUGUAUAGGGGCUGACGCCUGCCCGGUGCUGGAAGGUUAAGAGGAGUGGUUAGCUUCUGCGAAGCUACGAAUCGAAGCCCCAGUAAACGGCGGCCGUAACUAUAACGGUCCUAAGGUAGCGAAAUUCCUUGUCGGGUAAGUUCCGACCCGCACGAAAGGCGUAACGAUUUGGGCACUGUCUCAACGAGAGACUCGGUGAAAUCAUAGUACCUGUGAAGAUGCAGGUUACCCGCGACAGGACGGAAAGACCCCGUGGAGCUUUACUGUAGCCUGAUAUUGAAAUUCGGCACAGCUUGUACAGGAUAGGUAGGAGCCUUUGAAACGUGAGCGCUAGCUUACGUGGAGGCGCUGGUGGGAUACUACCCUAGCUGUGUUGGCUUUCUAACCCGCACCACUUAUCGUGGUGGGAGACAGUGUCAAGCGGGCAGUUUGACUGGGGCGGUCGCCUCCUAAAAGGUAACGGAGGCGCUCAAAGGUUCCCUCAGAAUGGUUGGAAAUCAUUCAUAGAGUGCAAAGGCAUAAGGGAGCUUGACUGCGAGACCUACAAGUCGAGCAGGGUCGAAAGACGGACUUAGUGAUCCGGUGGUUCCGCAUGGAAGGGCCAUCGCUCAACGGAUAAAAGCUACCCCGGGGAUAACAGGCUUAUCUCCCCCAAGAGUUCACAUCGACGGGGAGGUUUGGCACCUCGAUGUCGGCUCAUCGCAUCCUGGGGCUGUAGUCGGUCCCAAGGGUUGGGCUGUUCGCCCAUUAAAGCGGUACGCGAGCUGGGUUCAGAACGUCGUGAGACAGUUCGGUCCCUAUCCGUCGUGGGCGUAGGAAAUUUGAGAGGAGCUGUCCUUAGUACGAGAGGACCGGGAUGGACAUACCUCUGGUGUACCAGUUGUCGUGCCAACGGCAUAGCUGGGUAGCUAUGUGUGGACGGGAUAAGUGCUGAAAGCAUCUAAGCAUGAAGCCCCCCUCAAGAUGAGAUUUCCCAACUUCGGUUAUAAGAUCCCUCAAAGAUGAUGAGGUUAAUAGGUUCGAGGUGGAAGCAUGGUGACAUGUGGAGCUGACGAAUACUAAUCGAUCGAAGACUUAAUCAA
Molecule: ribosomal RNA, 2587 nt
Filed under: Staphylococcus aureus T35594
Lineage: Bacteria; Bacillati; Bacillota; Bacilli; Caryophanales; Staphylococcaceae
Description: bacterial LSU rRNA
Rfam family: Bacterial large subunit ribosomal RNA
Source: RNAcentral